GAUGAACGCUAGCUUCAGGCCUAAUACAUGCAAGUCGGACGGGAUCUAGAUCUAAGCUUGCUUACAUUUAGUGAGAGUGGCGCACGGGUGCGUAACGCGUGAGCAACCUACCCAUAUCACGGGGAUAGCCCGGAGAAAUCCGGAUUAAGACCGCAUAACACGACGACUCGGCAUCGAGAUGUUGUUAAAUAUUUAUAGGAUAUGGAUCGGGCUCGCGUGACAUUAGCUAGUUGGUAAGGUAACGGCUUACCAAGGCUACUAUGUCUAGGGGCUCUGAGAGGAGAAUCCCCCACACUGGUACUGAGACACGGACCAGACUCCUACGGGAGGCAGCAGUAAGGAAUAUUGGUCAAUGGAGGGAACUCUGAACCAGCCAUGCCGCGUGCAGGAUGACUGCCCUAUGGGUUGUAAACUGCUUUUGUCCAGGAAUAACCACCACUACGUGUAGUGGCUUGAAUGUGCUGGAACAAUAAGGAUCGGCUAACUCCGUGCCAGCAGCCCCCCGCUAAUACGGAGGAUCCGAGCGUUAUCGCGGACUUAUUGAGCUUAAAGGGUGCGUAGGCGGCUCAUUAAGUCAGGGGUGAAAGACGGCAGCUCAACUGUCGCAGUGCCUUUGAUACUGAUGAGCUUGAAUGUGGUUGAAGAUGGCGGAAUGAGACAAGUAGCGGUGAAAUGCAUAGAUAUGUCUCAGAACUCCGAUUGCGAAGGCAGCUGUCUAAGUCAUUAUUGACGCUGAUGCACGAAAGCGUGGGGAUCGAACAGGAUUAGAUACCCUGGUAGUCCACGCCCUAAACGAUGAUAACUCGAUGUUGGCGAUACACAGUCAGCGUCUUAGCGAAAGCGUUAAGUUAUCCACCUGGGGAGUACGCCCGCAAGGGUGAAACUCAAAGGAAUUGACGGGGGCCCGCACAAGCGGAGGAGCAUGUGGUUUAAUUCGAUGAUACGCGAGGAACCUUACCCGGGCUUGAAAGUUACUGAAUUAUCUAGAGAUAGAUAAGUCCUUCGGGACAGGAAACUAGGUGCUGCAUGGCUGUCGUCAGCUCGUGCCGUGAGGUGUUGGGUUAAGUCCCGCAACGAGCGCAACCCCUAUGUUUAGUUGCCAGCAUGUAAUGAUGGGGACUCUAAACAGACUGCCAGCGUAAGCUGUGAGGAAGGUGGGGACGACGUCAAGUCAUCAUGGCCCUUACGUCCGGGGCUACACACGUGCUACAAUGGAUGGUACAGCGGGCAGCUACCUGGUAACAGGAUGCUAAUCUCGAAAAGCCAUUCACAGUUCGGAUUGAGGUCUGCAACUCGACCUCAUGAAGUUGGAUUCGCUAGUAAUCGCGUAUCAGCAAUGACGCGGUGAAUACGUUCCCGGGCCU
RNAcentral lists this ribosomal RNA (1364 nucleotides) under uncultured bacterium. RNAcentral describes it as "bacterial SSU rRNA". It matches the Rfam family "Bacterial small subunit ribosomal RNA", at positions 28 to 1381 of the family's 1533-position model. The record is from RNAcentral.